Molecule: long non-coding RNA, 513 nt
Organism: Gossypium arboreum
Lineage: Eukaryota; Viridiplantae; Streptophyta; Magnoliopsida; Malvales; Malvaceae
Exons: 2
Source: RefSeq, a predicted model, not a curated record
AUAUGGACAGCAGACAAUACUGACUAGUCAAGGACUUGUCUUUAGAUUGUUUGGGUUCAUCACCUGUCCUCUAUACCCCACAUUCCACUAUAAGGUCCUAUAAUAUCAUAACCUUACCUUACUCAUUUGAUAGUAUACUGCAUAUAUAGACAAUCCAUAUAUGUGUGUGUGCAGGUUUGUAUUUACUGAAUAUAAUACAUGUGGCUGAAAUUGUUCCCUUAGUUACAAGUUUCUAUCAACUACUUUUUCAUUGAUAUGUGAUAGAAUUUUAGUUAGAGAUCAGGUUGAAGCAAAUUGAAAUAAGUGCAGUCGCUGCUAGUACAAAUUCAAAUCAGCUUGUUUUCAAGAUAAUGAUCAAGUAUGAAUCUUUCUCUGAAUUCCUCCCAUAUGAGAAAAGUUUUCCUUUUGGGCAGAAUCUUUCGGUGCUUGGAGCUGGAUUUCUGACCUGAGAUAUUGGUGUGCUGGGGGGAGAGAGGGCAAGAAUGCAAGUGAAAGAGAAAGGGGAGGCGAAGG